Molecule: transfer RNA, 74 nt
Filed under: Triticum aestivum (bread wheat)
Lineage: Eukaryota; Viridiplantae; Streptophyta; Magnoliopsida; Poales; Poaceae
Also listed under: 1 other name
Description: tRNA tRNA-Val
Rfam family: tRNA
About the family: Transfer RNA (tRNA) molecules are approximately 80 nucleotides in length. Their secondary structure includes four short double-helical elements and three loops (D, anti-codon, and T loops). Further hydrogen bonds mediate the characteristic L-shaped molecular structure. tRNAs have two regions of fundamental functional importance: the anti-codon, which is responsible for specific mRNA codon recognition, and the 3' end, to which the tRNAs corresponding amino acid is attached (by aminoacyl-tRNA synthetases). tRNAs cope with the degeneracy of the genetic code in two manners: having more than one tRNA (with a specific anti-codon) for a particular amino acid; and 'wobble' base-pairing, i.e. permitting non-standard base-pairing at the 3rd anti-codon position.
Source: Rfam by way of RNAcentral
GUCUGGGUGGUGUAGUUGAUUAUCACGUUAGUCUCACACACUAAAGGUCCCCCGUUCGAACCUGGGCUCAGACA